Molecule: ribosomal RNA, 497 nt
Filed under: uncultured bacterium
Lineage: Bacteria
Description: partial 16S ribosomal RNA
Rfam family: Bacterial small subunit ribosomal RNA
Source: RNAcentral
GAUGAACGCUGGCGGCGUGCCUAAUACAUGCAAGUCAAGCGAACAGACGAGGAGCUUGCUCCUCUGACGUUAGCGGCGGACGGGUGAGUAACACGUGGAUAACCUACCUAUAAGACUGGGAUAACUUCGGGAAACCGGAGCUAAUACCGGAUAAUAUAUUGAACCGCAUGGUUCAAUAGUGAAAGACGGUCUUGCUGUCACUUAUAGAUGGAUCCGCGCCGCAUUAGCUAGUUGGUAAGGUAACGGCUUACCAAGGCAACGAUGCGUAGCCGACCUGAGAGGGUGAUCGGCCACACUGGAACUGAGACACGGUCCAGACUCCUACGGGAGGCAGCAGUAGGGAAUCUUCCGCAAUGGGCGAAAGCCUGACGGAGCAACGCCGCGUGAGUGAUGAAGGUCUUCGGAUCGUAAAACUCUGUUAUUAGGGAAGAACAAAUGUGUAAGUAACUAUGCACGUCUUGACGGUACCUAAUCAGAAAGCCACGGCUAACUACGUG